GAGUUUGAUCCUGGCUCAGAUUGAACGCUGGCGGCAUGCCUUACACAUGCAAGUCGAACGGCAGCACGGGUGCUUGCACCUGGUGGCGAGUGGCGAACGGGUGAGUAAUACAUCGGAACAUGUCCUGUAGUGGGGGAUAGCCCGGCGAAAGCCGGAUUAAUACCGCAUACGAUCUACGGAUGAAAGCGGGGGACCUUCGGGCCUCGCGCUAUAGGGUUGGCCGAUGGCUGAUUAGCUAGUUGGUGGGGUAAAGGCCUACCAAGGCGACGAUCAGUAGCUGGUCUGAGAGGACGACCAGCCACACUGGGACUGAGACACGGCCCAGACUCCUACGGGAGGCAGCAGUGGGGAAUUUUGGACAAUGGGCGAAAGCCUGAUCCAGCAAAGCC
This 389-nucleotide ribosomal RNA is filed under the name uncultured soil bacterium. RNAcentral describes it as "bacterial SSU rRNA". It matches the Rfam family "Bacterial small subunit ribosomal RNA", at positions 9 to 398 of the family's 1533-position model. The record is from RNAcentral.